GAUUUUGAUGAUAUUUUUUUUGUCGUCUUGUCUCUCUCUCUCUCUCUCUCUCUAUCGAACACCUUGGCUCACUUUAGCAACCACCACCGACCUGUUCACAUCCAUUGAUGAGAUUGAAGAACUAAGAAGAAGAAGCAAAAGCUUCUCUCGGAUCUCUCUGUUUCCUCAUCCCUCACCGAUCUUGAAAUCAGGCGAUCUAAGUCUUAGAGGUGACGUAUGUGGGGACUGCAACGAGAGACAUCCUCGAUGUACAAGAGAACGUCGUCGAGAGAUUACUCUCCGAUGCUUGACGUCGAAGAUAGUUCAGGUGUGUUAGAGAAUGAGGUGAACAGUGAAUUGGAAACUACGAAUCCUUCAUGGAAGUGUUCUCUCCCGCAUGUCCUUGUAGCUACGAUUUCGUCGUUUCUAUUUGGUUACCACUUAGGAGUUGUGAAUGAGCCACUUGAAAGCAUUUCGUCUGACCUUGGUUUUAGUGGUGACACAUUAGCAGAAGGAUUGGUGGUUAGUGUUUGUCUUGGUGGUGCAUUUAUCGGAUCUUUGUUCAGUGGUGGAGUUGCUGAUGGCCUUGGAAGGCGGAGAGCCUUUCAGCUCUGUGCUUUGCCUAUGAUUUUUGGUGCUUUUGUUAGUGGAGUUAGCAACAGUUUAGCUGUCAUGCUUUUGGGAAGAUUCUUGGUUGGGACUGGCAUGGGUCUUGGGCCACCUGUGGCAGCACUUUACGUGACAGAGGUAUCACCAGCUUUUGUUAGGGGAACAUAUGGAAGCUUCAUACAAAUAGCUACAUGUCUAGGACUGAUGGCAGCCCUGUUUAUAGGGAUCCCAGUCCAUAACAUCCCUGGUUGGUGGCGUGUCUGUUUCUGGCUAUCAAUGAUACCUGCUGCAGUACUCGCUCUGGGAAUGUUUCUCUGUGCUGAGUCUCCCCAGUGGCUAUUUAAGCAAGGGAAGAUAGCUGAAGCCGAAGCUGAGUUUGAGAGGCUGCUCGGAGGGUCUCAUGUGAAAACAGCAAUGUCAGAAUUACACAAACUAGACCUAGACAGAACAGAUGAACCAGAUGUCGUGAGCAUCUCAGAGCUGUUAUAUGGUCGGCAUUCAAGAGUUGUUUUUAUUGGAUCAACCCUGUUUGCUUUGCAACAGCUAUCUGGUAUAAAUGCUGUUUUUUAUUUCUCUUCUACCGUUUUCAAAAGUGCCGGAGUACCAUCGGAUCUGGGCAACAUCUUUGUUGGGGUUUCAAACCUCUUGGGAUCCGUAAUCGCAAUGGUGUUGAUGGAUAAAGUAGGGAGAAACACUACAACAAAUAUUCACAUUAAUAGCACAUGACGAUAGCUCAUUUUCCACAACUGCUAUGAUAGAAUUUGUAAACACGCCUGCGAUAAUCGAGAGAUUUGCGAAUCUGGAGAAAGAGAUCUUGUAGAUUGAGCAUUCUAUUCAAGCUAAUGAAAACGCCAAUGCUGCUGCUGAUGCUGAGCAAUUACAAACACAAGAUGGUGAAGCUAAUUCUGGAGUAAGUAGUAAUCUAAGGAAGUCGAACGAGUUAUUCAAGAAGGUAUUUGAGAAUGGCAAUGAGGUUACAGGAGAGGAAACCUCAAACUUCAACGUCUUCUUGAAACACAUAGGACAUUGCUACUGUAGGAUUUCGAUAAGUUUUGGUGGUUGCAGUGAAAGCCGUGCAGUAGAUACAGAGUCACUAUGUGUUCUAGCCGGAAAGGUGGUCUGGUCUGUUUGCAUUGAUGUUCACAUUUUUGACAAUGGAAUUGGCUGCAUUUCUUCUUCAUGUUCAGAGCUAUGGUGCAAGGCAGUGCAAGUGUGGAUCAGAGGACCUUGCUCUGUCCAUGACAUCAACUCUUACUCUCUCUCUCUCUCGGAACAAAUUGUAAAUGGUAACAUUUUUUUCCUUCUUCUUAUCUGAGUCAUUGCUUGACCUACUUAGUAGGAGUUGCUCAUGCUUCAUUUGAGUACAUCAAGUUCAUAAUGUGAGUUGGAAUAUCUUAUUGGAAGUUUUGGUAGUCUUGUGAAGGUUUGGAAUAUAUCUUAUUGCUCUGCUUGUUUUAUCCGUUUCAUUAUGUUUUUGUGUUUAUGUCUUGGUAUAGGUUCCCACAUUGCCUAUAUCUGUUAGUUGUCUAUUUGAACAUGUUGUAACGUUGAAUAAUAAGGUUUGUAGGUUUCCGCUCAUGUAUAGGUAACACUUACAAUUUAUGGUUUAUUUAUCUCUAUGUGAUUGCUAUGUGCUUAUAGGGUUAAUGGCAUAUUGUGGCUUCUCACGAUUCUUUUGUUUCAUAUGAGCAGAUAUAUAUGGAGAGGAUAACUAACAUGUCUUUUUCAUACAUUCAAAGUGAACUAGUAGCUGUUCAAUGGACUAUUUCAAGAAACGCUAAGUGAGCAGCUAAAAGAGAGUCUUUGCUACAACAAGUAAGAAAGGCUGGGUUACAUGUACAUGUCAUGUUAGUUUUAUUGUUAGUUUUAUUUUGUUUAAGACUUGGUGACACUUUGU
Non-coding RNA from Camelina sativa (false flax), 2485 nucleotides. Lineage: Eukaryota; Viridiplantae; Streptophyta; Magnoliopsida; Brassicales; Brassicaceae. The record is from RefSeq and is a predicted model, not a curated record.